UACGUAGGGUGCGAGCGUUAAUCGGAAUUACUGGGCGUAAAGCGUGCGCAGGCGGCUUCGCAAGUCAGACGUGAAAUCCCCGGGCUUAACCUGGGAAUGGCGUUUGAAACUACGGAGCUGGAGUGUGGCAGAGGGAGGUAGAAUUCCACGUGUAGCGGUGAAAUGCGUAGAUAUGUGGAGGAAUACCGAUGGCGAAGGCAGCCUCCUGGGCCAACACUGACGCUCAUGCACGAAAGCGUGGGGAGCAAACAGGAUUAGAUACCCCAGUAGUCC
RNAcentral lists this ribosomal RNA (273 nucleotides) under uncultured Cupriavidus sp. RNAcentral describes it as "partial 16S ribosomal RNA". It matches the Rfam family "Bacterial small subunit ribosomal RNA", at positions 524 to 796 of the family's 1533-position model. The record is from RNAcentral. Lineage: Bacteria; Pseudomonadati; Pseudomonadota; Betaproteobacteria; Burkholderiales; Burkholderiaceae.